RNAcentral lists this long non-coding RNA (1045 nucleotides) under Macaca fascicularis (crab-eating macaque). RNAcentral's name for it is "lncRNA (ENSMFAG00000047959.1)". Lineage: Eukaryota; Metazoa; Chordata; Mammalia; Primates; Cercopithecidae. The record is from RNAcentral.
GUGAAGGUGACUGAGAAGCUGCAUGCUUGGCCUGCUUUAGUAUUUACCACUACCACAGGGCAGGAUUGGCUUAGGAAUGCCCUGUGAGCAGAUCGACUAGAGCCUGUGAACCAGAGGGCUCCAUCCCACCGAGGCUCAGGCCACAAGCUACUGCCAGUCUGUGUCCCUGCCCAAUGACUGAUCUUACCUUUGUAGGUUAUCAGUUUGGGACACAUCCAAGUUGUCUGCCUUUUCUCCUCAUUGGUGCUCUGCAAAGGAUCCUGGCUUCUCUCAGUUCUGUGGCUCCCGUGAUCCUUUCUGCUUAAAAGUUGCUUAAGUUAUGAACACAAGUGAUACAGGUGAAGAGGUUCAAGUCUCUUACCACUGUUUUUAAAUUUUCCUAUAUUUUUAGCUGUUUUAAGCUUUACACACUUUGAAGCCCACGUGAUUCGCACUCAUCAAGUCUGUCUUUAUUGUGAACAUGAAGUGGCCCUUUUCUAUCUUGCAGUAUAUUCUAUUUUUUGAGGCAAGGUCUCGCUCUUGCCCAGGCUGGAGUGCGAUCUUGGCUCACUGCACCCUCAAAUUCCUAGGCUCAGUUGAUUCAACCUCCUCAGCCUCCUGAUCCCAGCUACUCGAGAGGCUGAGGCAGGAGAAUCGCUUGAACCCAGGAGGCGGAGACUGUAGUGAGCUGAGAUCCGGCCAUGGCACUCCAGCCUGGGCGACAAGAGUGAAACUCCGUCUAAGAAAAAAAAGGGGGGCCGGGCGCGGUGGCUUAAGCCUGUAAUCCCAGCACUUUGGGAGGCCGAGACGGGUGGAUCACGAGGUCAGGAGAUCGAGACCAUCCUGGCUAACACGGUGAAACCCCGUCUCUACUAAAAACUACAAAAAACUAGCUGGGUGAGUUGGCGGGCGCCUGUAAUCCCAGCUUCUCGGGAGGCUGAGGCAGGAGAAUGGCGUGAACCCGGGAGGCAGAGCUUGCAGUGAGCUGAGAGCCGGCCACUGCACUCCAGCCUGGGUGACAGAGCGAGACUCCGUAUCAAAAAAAAAAAAAAAAAAAGAAAAAAAA